CGUGACCGGUGCACGAGCAUCUCUUGUCACUGAUCUGAAAUCCUCGCGCGACGAGAAAAAUCUAGAAACAACUGACACAACAGUCAAACACCGAUUACCAUUAAAGUACAAGUUAAUAUACUUUUUUUAAAGGUAGGAGAAAAUCAGGAAAACCUGGAAGAAACCCACACAGACACUAGGAGAAUAUGUGAAACUCCACACAGACAGUAAUCCGAGCUCUGGAUCAAACCCUCGAGUUGCGAGUCGGCCACGCUCCCUGCUGUGCAACCACUGUCCUUCAGACCCUGUUUACGUACCCAUGCAUACUGCCUUAUUGGACACAGAGGAAGGACAGCGUUUGAUUUUUUGUUCAUCUUGAG
Molecule: long non-coding RNA, 359 nt
Organism: Ictalurus punctatus (channel catfish)
Lineage: Eukaryota; Metazoa; Chordata; Actinopteri; Siluriformes; Ictaluridae
Exons: 3
Source: RefSeq, a predicted model, not a curated record